GGAUCAGCAGCAGUUUUCACAGGAAACGUCUCGGGUUGACGUGAACGUUUCUUCGCGUCGCUGCACAUUUCCGUUUCGCCAUCUUUUACCUCGGAGGCGUGUGGAUCGCGUCAUAUCGCGUGUGUAUCGCGCAGUUUUAGCAGUUUUACAGACUACUGACUUGGUUCUACGAGCCGCAAAAUGCCGGGUUUUAGCAGCGUUGGCACAUUUAAAAUCUUCAUUGGUAAUUUAGCCGACAAGACCUCGAACGCGGAUAUAAAACCAUUGUUCGAGAAAUACGGCAAGGUCGUGGAAUGCGACGUGGUAAAGAAUUAUGGCUUUGUGCAUAUGGAAAACGAGGAAGCAGGACGAAAUGCCAUACAGAAUCUAAAUGGACAUAUGGUCCAUGGGCAGCCAAUAAAAUGCGAAGCCGCAAAGAGUCGUAAGGGUCCAAAUACUCCUACGACAAAGAUCUUUGUCGGCAAUCUUACAGAUAACACGAAAGCGCCGCAAGUGCGCGAACUGUUUGCCAAGUAUGGCACAGUUGUUGAAUGCGACAUUGUGAGGAAUUAUGGUUUCGUCCAUCUUGAAGCGACGGGAGACGUGAACGACGCCAUCAAGGAGUUGAACGGGCAGAUCGUAGACGGGCAGCCGAUGAAAGUGCAGAUUUCUACCAGUAGGGUGCGACAGAGGCCAGGAAUGGGUGAUCCGGAACAAUGCUAUCGAUGCGGACGAGGCGGUCACUGGUCCAAGGAAUGUCCCAAGGGAGGUAUGGGAGGUGGACCAGACAGAAAUGGAUACAGAGAUCGAAUGUUUGGACGUGAUCCGUAUCCUCCACCGCCACCACCACCUUUCCUUCGGGACCGACUCAUGGGUGGUGGCCGCUUUGGAGACUACGAAAGCUACUACGACCGGCGCGGGUUCGAGGACACGAGGGAUCUCUACGAGAGGCGGUUUACGGGUAUGACAGGGCCCUGUGACAUGGGAAGUUCCAUGUGCGGGCUAGACUUUCCACCAAUGCCUCUACCAUCAAGACGAGACCCAAUGCCUCCUAUGCCUCCUCUAGGUAUGGGAUCCAUGCGCGACACUGGCUUCUCCCGUGGAAACGAGUAUGGCAUGUUCAGCCGCCGAUCACCCCCUCCAAGUGGCAACAACGGCCGGUUCAGUGCACCUCAGGCGUACCAUCUUUGUCCAUGAACGCGGGCAACCCUAGAGAGACAGUCCCGGGUCAGCGUUCAAGUCGUACAAGAACCGGGAUUACGAGGGCCAUCGCCGUCGCGCCGGUUCGCACCAUACUAAAUCGUCGCGUCGGGCUCGGAUCGGUCUCUGUCGGUCGCCGUCGGUCCGUCGGGUCUGUCUGUCGCUAGCAGGAAGCCUCGGAACCGAGAUACUCUUGGCCGUCUUGCGAACUGCACGCGUGAAGAUCUGCCGCCCGCUCUAUGAGAACAAGUGUUACCCGCAAUGCGCAAUGUUUUUAUUUAGGCGAAAAAAAAAACGGAAACAAAAGUAAAAAGCUAAACGCUAAAUGAAAUACAACCAAUCCAAAAAUAGCAGAGACAGGCAAAAAUAGAAAAUAUCUUAAUUAUCUUUUCUUCCAACCGACGAAUCCGUCAUAUCUCUUCAAGACUCCCGGCUUAUCGAUCCUUUCAUACCUCUUGUCAACUAUCUUAUUGUCUUUAGGUCCCUUUACCCCGUACUCUCUUCCCUCUACGUCAUGCAUUUGUAUAAAAUCACAAUUAAAGUGAUCCUCGAUAUUAAGAACUCGAUGUAGCUUCUCCACCGCGGAGACUCCUCGAUCCUCGAUCAUAACGUUUCUUAAUAAAUAUAUUUUGACAAACGUUUUUAUCUCUCACUGAUUUUCGGGAAAACAUAGAUCUUGGACGUAAAUUUACAUAUUUGAUUUUUACGGGAGGGAAAAAAAAUAUGGGAUCGACGAGCAUUCCGGUGGGGUCGUAUUCUGCGGCGAUCGUUUCGGUUUUCUUUGACGAUGACCUACCACUUGGCCUGCUUUUCUCCGCUACGCCAGCAAUCGAUCAGAGGCUUUUGUCGCGCGCGUACGCGUCGCACUUCGCCGCAGAAAUUGCUGAACGAUUAGCAAUCGAUCGCAGAUACAGCGUAAUUUAACAUUAAUAGAUUUUAUUCGUACAUUAUGUCAAUCAUCCCCGCGUAAUAGAGCAAAAGAUGUCCUGAUCGAGAAGCGUGUUGUUCGCGGAAUUCCCGUCGACUUUUAUUUAUUGCGCCAAAAAAAUAUGUAUCAGAUUUUUCCUCUGUCGGGAGUAGCGCGAACAUUCGUACAACGAUGCUAAAGGAUGCUCUAAGGGAGAUAUUUAUAGUUGUUUUUUGAAAAAUUCAUAUAUGCAUGUAAAUAAUAUCUUAUUUAUGAUUAUAAAUAAGAAUUUUGGAUGCAAUAUGGAUAAAUGAAUUUUGAUUAAAAAAAAAAAAUAACUAUGAAUAUUACUGUCUUAAAUAUACCGUAGAAAAUAUAUCUGCAGAUGAAUUGUAUUAAAUAUGCGUCAUGAUUUUUUUACUCGCAUUAAAUUAAUAAUCUCAUCGAUUGGCCGCCUCGCGUAUCUCGAUCGAAGCUCUAUUCUUUUCUUUAUAACUCAAGUAGAUUAACCGGCAAAAAGCCGCGACGCGAUUCUUAAAAUAUAAAAAAAUAGCGGAAGAGUACCUUUCGAGCGAACAAUUGUAUAUUCAAUUUUGAAAUCGGCGAAUUUUAAACCAUUAUUAAACUUGAGAGCAGGCCUCAUCUUCCGAAACGAUUGUGUACAUGUCACCGAAAUAAGCACUAUUCCAUUAUUUUUGACAGAUGAUUUUGUAUAGAGCGUAAAAUGGUAGCCUUAACGUGUUUUUAGCAUGUUCGCGAAAGAGUAUCGAGAAGACGUAGGCCGUGCUUAAGAAAGAAGAAGCGUUCGCCAAAAUCUUUCCCCAAAUGGGAGGGGUAAGCGUGCAGGUUCGAUUGUAUAAAAAGAAAAAAAGAAUAUUUCCACAAUGCCAUCUCCCGCUUUUACCACAAAAAGAAAGAAUUAUAUAAUUGGACUUAUAUUAGACCCGGUAGGAUGCGCCGAUUCUGUAUGGAAAACCUGAAGGUCGAACAUUAUCGUUAGAAUAUAGUAACGUAAUCUUUUUAUUAAAGUAGGAUUAAUUCCGACAUAUAAAAAAAAAGACGUGUUGUAGUCUGUAAUAAUCGCACUUUCAUUUCUUUUUUCGAGCGUAGACACUUGCUGUAAGUCUUCUUUUUUUCUAUUCUCCCAUCUACGUCUUUGGUUUUUUUUUUUUUUUCCUGAAAAACGACCGUUUUUUCAUUAAAGAUUAUAUAAAUUAUAACCACGAUGAUGCAAAUAAUAAUGAUACUGAAUAUAAGAGAUAUGUAAUAACAAUGUAUUUGUGAAAUUCACAAAAAAAAACGACGUGUAUUGCGUGUUUCUUUAAUUACAUCACACCGACCGCUC
This is an RNA transcript of Cataglyphis hispanica, 3431 nucleotides long. It is a transcript of the gene named RNA-binding protein lark, with no coding region annotated. The transcript has 6 exons. The record is from RefSeq and is a predicted model, not a curated record. NCBI's taxonomy places the organism in Eukaryota, Metazoa, Arthropoda, Insecta, Hymenoptera, Formicidae.